CCUACGGGGGGCUGCAGUGGGGAAUAUUGGACAAUGGGGGCAACCCUGAUCCAGCCAUGCCGCGUGUGUGAAGAAGGCCCUCGGGUUGUAAAGCACUUUCAGUGAGGAAGAACGCCUGGUGGUUAAUACCCAUCAGGAAAGACAUCACUCACAGAAGAAGCACCGGCUAACUCCGUGCCAGCGGCCGCGGUAAUACGGAGGGUGCGAGCGUUAAUCGGAAUUACUGGGCGUAAAGCGCGCGUAGGUGGCUUGAUAAGCCGGUUGUGAAAGCCCCGGGCUCAACCUGGGAACGGCAUCCGGAACUGUCAAGCUAGAGUGCAGGAGAGGAAGGUAGAAUUCCCGGUGUAGCGGUGAAAUGCGUAGAGAUCGGGAGGAAUACCAGUGGCGAAGGCGGCCUUCUGGACUGACACUGACACUGAGGUGCGAAAGCGUGGGUAGCAAACAGGAUUAGAUACCCUAGUAGUC
This 465-nucleotide ribosomal RNA is filed under the name Vreelandella stevensii. Its description in RNAcentral is "partial 16S ribosomal RNA". It matches the Rfam family "Bacterial small subunit ribosomal RNA", at positions 338 to 795 of the family's 1533-position model. The record is from RNAcentral. Lineage: Bacteria; Pseudomonadati; Pseudomonadota; Gammaproteobacteria; Oceanospirillales; Halomonadaceae.